Monodelphis domestica (gray short-tailed opossum) is the source of this 7144-nucleotide non-coding RNA. The record is from RefSeq and is a predicted model, not a curated record. NCBI's taxonomy places the organism in Eukaryota, Metazoa, Chordata, Mammalia, Didelphimorphia, Didelphidae.
GUCUUUACUAGUUUCUUGUCUUCUUUCUCUUUCAUUUAGGCAGCCUUUUGGCUUUUGCAUUCUUCCACCAGUAUUUUGGAGGACAGAAUUUCAUGGUUGUGCUUGAGUAUAGUGCCACAAAGUCUCACAAGCAUGUCUCACAUUACAUUGCCCUGAUCAAUGCCAUUUCCCAAUUAAAACCAUAAUACAUUAGAACUAAACUCCUUCAGAUGCCAAGGAAGCAUCAUUCAACUCUUUACCUAAGACACAAAUGGAAUGGCUGUCAUCAAUCAGAGAUGAUCCUACUUGAUUUCAGCUUCCCAUUACCACAUUUACUUAUUAUAUAUCCAAACAAUUAAACAAAAUACAAAUUUCAUUAGAAUCAGAAUCAAAUAAUGUAACUAAUUAGUUCAUAGUUUGUUAUAAUAGAAAAAAAUACUUGAUUUGGAGUUAAAAGAUCCUGAUUCUUCAAUGAUUUGAUCUUGAACAAAUUUCACUUUUUUGACUCUCAUUUUUAUCAUUUAUAAAAUGAGGGAUAGACUGGGCCUUCAAGUCCUAAUCCUAUCAUUCAAUGAACCAAAUGACUCACACUUGUCCAGACUUGUUUUUGAUAUAGUUAGUAAUUGGGUAUUUCCAGUAGAGAGUAUUAGGAUAUAUUAACUGCUUUUAUUUAAUACCUUCUAUCAAAUACCUAAGAGCAUUUGAAUUUGGAGAUGGAUACUUUGGGUUCAAAUUCCAACUCUGCUACUUUACCACUGGGAUGCCUUUGGGCAAAUCAUAGAACUUCUUUGGACUCCAGUUUCCUUAUUUUUAAAAUGAAGGGCCAUUUGCUGUUUCAUUGUUUUCAGUUAUACCCAACUCUUUGUGACCAUAUUUGGGAUUUUCUUGGCAACGAUACUGAAGUGGUUUGGCAUUUAUUUUUCCAGCUCAUUUUACAGAUGAAGAAACUGAGGCAAACCAGGAUUAAGUGACUUUCCCAGGGUCAGACCCAUCUAGUAAAUGUCUGAGUCUAGAUUUGAACUCAGGAAGGUGAAUCUUCCUGAAUCCAGCCCAGCUCUCAAGCCACUGCUCCACCUUGCUGCCCUGAAAGCACUAUAUAAAUAGUAGCUAUUAUCUCUAAGGUCUCUUUCAAUAACCUACGAUCUUCCUAUUUUUGGUACUUGUACUUCCUGCUUCACAAAGUUGUGAAGAAAGCACUUUGUGAAUUGUAAAAUGCUUUAGAAAUAUAAAUUUUGAUGGUCCUGUGAUAUGCUCAUAAUCCAUUACCACACUCUGGAGUUCUUAUGUAGUUGGACAAAACCAGGAUAUUUUCAGCUUGCCAGUUGUAGUCUCUUCUUAUAAUUUCAAGGCAAAUUCUUUCCCUACCUUGGCAAGAGAAUCAGUUUGUAAGCCAGUAAGAUUUGACAAUAAUAAUGUAAUAAUUAAUAUUGUUUCUUUUCUUGCCCAGCCAUAGGCUAUUUUAGCAAUGUACAUUUUAAGUCCCAUGCAGGAUAUCUGCAGUGAAGUUUUUCUUUUAUCUCUAAAGUUAGUUUUAACAGUGGUUUGCUCAGAUGAGUAAAAUGGUUCCUCCUAUGACAUCUCAGAGAUAGCCAGGACUAAAAUAGCCCCUUAUUUUUGUAGAAUAGAAGUUAGUUAAAAAUAAGGUUAUUGAACAAAGAACCUCAGCAUUAGUUUUAAAUUCUUGGUGGAGGGCAGAGAGCUUACUGAAGUCUCAUGAAAAAAUAAAGCCACAGAAAUCAGAAUUUUAGAGUUGAAAGAGGCUGGCCUCUACCACAACCUUGUAAUUAUCCAGCCUUGCUUGAUGAUCUCACAUGUUGGAGAAUCCACUGCUUCUUGAGGAAUUCCUGCCACUAUUAGAUAGCUUUAAAUUUGGGGAAUUUUUUUUCCUUACAUCAAAGCAAAAUUUACUCCUUUGCAACCUCUACCAGUUGCUGCUAGUUGUGUCUUUGGGGACAGUGGGGAAAAAUGUCUCACCUUUUUCCCAUAUAUAGGAGAGUUAUUUAUUUCAUUCCCAUUUCUUUCAGUUGAUUCACAUAUUAUUUUAAGAACAUGAUACUUAUCGUCUUUCUGAUUGUCUUUGUCUGAAUGCUAUCCAAUUUAUUAGUACCCUAUCUAAAAUUUGGUGUCUAGAACUGAACCUCCCAGUCCAGAUGUCAUAUGACUAAGGGCAGAAUAUGGCAGAUCUCUCACCUCAUAAACUUUUCUCAAUGUAACAAGAUAGUGUUAGCUUUCUAGGCUGCCAUAUCAUAGUGAAGUGCAUUAUAGUCAAACUUCCUUCAAUUUACAUUUAUAAUAUUUAAUUUUUGAAUCCAGGUAUAAGUCUGUGCAUUUAUAUGAGUUAAAUUUAAAUAUAUUAAAUUUGGUUCAAUAUUCUCAUCCAUUGAGAUCUUUGUUAAUUCUAUCCUGUUAUCCAGGAUCCCUUUAAGCUUUAUGUCAUCUACAAAUUUGAUCAGUUUGCUGUCUCUGCCUUUAUCCAAGUCAUUGCAGGACCCUCUUUACCAGACAUUUCCCUACAAUUGGUAUCUAACUAUGAAUAACUAUGGGGGGAACAAUUAAUCAAUCAAUUGUAAAUCCACCUGGCUAGUAUUAUCUAGCCCUUUCCUCUUCAUCAUUUCUACAACAACUUGAGAAACUUUGCUAAAUGCUUUGCCUCUAAGUAACUUAUAUCAAUGACAUUUUGCCUGAUCUACUAAUCUAAUCAUCCUGUCAAAAAGAAAAAGAAAAUGAUCUUGGCUCAACAUAAUUGGACCUACUAUGUGGGUUCCCUGUGAUUACUACUUCCUUUUCUAGAUACACCAUCUCUUUAGUAAUAUGUCCUAGAUUUUUGCUAGGAAUUGAAGUCAAGCUCACCGGCCUAUACCAUUCAGAUACCAUUCUCUUUUCUUUUUAAAAAAUUGGAACAUUUGCCCUUCACUCUUCCCAUGUUACCUCUUCUAUUCUUCAUACUUUUAACUGUCACUGACAGCGACUUAACAAUCUCAUCUGCUACUCCUUUCAUUCAGUACCUGAGAAUUUAGUUCCAUCUGACCCAAAUGAAAGCAGGUAACAAGAUGCUGAAGUAAAGAGGACUGAAAGGAAUGAGAUCAGGACAAAUGAAGUGAGGAAAAUAUGGGGGUUAGAUGUAACAUUUCUCUCUCAGGCCCCUAGGGAAACAUUUCUUUUAAGAUGAAGUUCCUACUUUUAGUAUUAAGUAGAGAUAGAGACUGGUCCUGUAAUUUCAUUGCUAUAGGGAAUUCUCAGUACAAUCCUGCAACUUCCCAGCAAUCUAUGGUCAUUAGAGAGUUUUGUGGAGCAGUAAGGGACUAAAUGACUUCCUGAGGGUCACACCAGUGUUAUGUCUCAGAGUGAGACUAGCACCCAAGUCUACCUGACCUGUUCUCAAUGUAUUCCUCCCUGUUGUUUUUAUAACCUAAAUGCUGUCGGAUCACAAAGGUAUAUAGCCAAUUUAUAAGUCAAGUUUUAAUUUUCUACUGUGGAGAGCAUGUUACCUCUACUGAAAUUUGCUGAUACCUCAUCAUCAAUGGAGGUGACCCUAGUUUAUUGGAAGUUAUGGCAGUUGAGGGCUCUUGCACAUCCUACCAAGUUGAAAGGGCUUCUAGUAUAGCACUGGUAGUGGACUCUUGUCAAUGGAUUAACUAAGUAUAGACAGACCCUUGAAUUCUCCCUUGGGUAAUGAAUUAUUUUGAUACAUAGUGAUUCAAAAUAAAUUACCUGAGGUAGAAAGAAUGGUUUCUAUCUGUAUCCUUGCUGGCAAAAUAGUUCUUGAAGUGUUUAAAAUGGAGGUCCUUACCGUUUUUUGAGUCCUGGACCCCUUUGGCAAUCUGGUGAAGCCUAUGGAGCUCUUCUGAGAAAAUUGUUUUUAAAUGCAUAAAAUAAAGUAUACAGGAUUAAUAAUAAUAGUAAUGUUAUAUAUCACUGUGGUUUGCAGAACACUUUAUAUAGAUAAGCUCAUUUGAUCUUUACCACAACUCUUUAAGGUAGGUGUGGUUAUUAUCCUCAUUUGAUACAGGAAACUGAGGCUUAGAGAGAUUAAAUGAUUUGUUCAGGGUCAGAAUUUGAGGUAAGAUUUGAAUUUAGCUCUUCAAGGCCAGCACUCUAUACACUGUGCUCCCAGAUGCAAUUAUAUUGAAAUAUAGUAAGUAAGAAAAAAAGAGUUCAUGGAUCCCAGGUUAACUCUUGCUUUAAAAGUAAGUUGAAAAAUAGAAUCCAGUUUUGUUUUGUUUUGUUUUUUCAGAGGGGAAGGGACAGAGUUAGACAGGAGUUUGCCAGUUAUUCCAUGUAGAAAGGCCAUUUUUAUGGCUGAGUGGAAAACUUCAGAAUGCUACCAGCACCCCGGGAGACAAGACGAGCAGAACUGGGAGUGUAGACUAGAGCAUCAGCAACAGUCAGAAAGGAGUGUUUACAAGCUUUGUAUAUUUUAUAACCUUUUGUUGUACAGUUUAUGGUUUACAAUGGCUGCAAGGAAAUUGGAUCCGUUUUGUUUUACUCACCAAAUAAAACACAUGUCAGAAUAGUCAAUAUAAAAUGUAUUCUAAUUUGGCUGAGUUAAAACAGCCAGGAUGCUGUGGAAUAAUUGAAUGUUACAUUAAUGCCUCCUAGUAAAAACCAUCUGUCUAUCUAUUGAAAACUUUUCUGUCUUUGCUUGUGUAAUUUGCAGGUAAUAUCCACACUAAUAAGAAGAACCUCAGUUCCUAGAUUCACAGGACUGGGAGCUGGCAGGGACCUUAGAGGUUAUCUAGGUCAAUCCCUUCAGUCAGAUGGGAAUAUUGAAGUCUAUAGAGCCUUGGACAAGUCACUAGCUUGGAGUAACAUAAGUGCAAAGUGGCUGUCAAGAAAUAAAUCUAGAUCUUCUAAUUACAAAUUUCAUAUUCUGCUCAUUAUAUUAGACUCAGGUGUUUGGUUUUUUGGGGGGGGAUCCUUUUAGGAUCCUUUAGGAUGACAGUGUAGUAUGGUGUGAGUCUAGACUCCACAGCUUUGUUGCUGUGGGCCAGUUACCCAACCUGCUUAGAACACAGUGUCCUAAGAUGGAAAGGAGGGAUAAUCUUACUAUGUCCCUCCUAGGGCCACAAUAAGAUUCUCUAGACCUAAAGUACUAUUGAAAUAUGAGUUGUUCUCCCUUUCCACUGAUGAUUAGAUCUUGUUUUUCCACAGGUUAGGUAAAGUUAUGUAUUUUUUUGAAAUGAUGAAGUGUCUUAAUUUGAGAUCUGUUUAAAUAGUUAAUAACUACCAAUUCAGAGAAAUAAAGUGAGUCUAGAAUUCUGCUCGAAGGUUUUGACUACAAGUAAAUUUCCUUUUCUGAUGAUAGACAUUGAAGUUUGUACUUGGUUUCUCAUAAAUCCCACAUAGAUGAAGGAGUAAAAGAAGGGAACAUGCAUUUAUUAAGUACCUGAUAUAUUCCAGGCACUGUGCUAAGUUCUUUACAAAUAUCUUAUUUGAUCCUCACAACAGUCCUGGGAGGUAGAUUAUUAUUCCCAUUUUACAUAAAAGGAACCCAAAGCAGAUACUUAGAGAGGCUUGCCCGAGGUGAUAUAGCUUUUAAGUAUCUGAGACUAGACUUGACUAAGGGUUUCUUGGCUCUAGGUCUGGCACUCUAUCCAUUGUGGCAUCUUUUAGAUACAUAAUUUUUUACAUAUUGUGAGACUUUAAGGUAUUGAUUUAACUAAAUUGCCUUUUAGGACUUAACUUAGUAUAGUGGAAAGAACUUUGGAUUUCAAAUCAGAAGACUGGGUUUGUACCUCAGUACUGAUAUUUAUUGUCAUUAUAAUUCCGGGCUAAUAAUUUACCCUUUCCUGGACCUCAUUUUCCUCAUCUGUAUAAUGGAGUUGAACUAAAUAAGACCUAUAUAUGUAGUUUUAAGAUCCCAGGAUUAUACCCCUGUAUUUUGGUUCCCCUCUGGAAAAAUGGGAUGGUAAUCUCUUCCUGAGUUUUAUAUGGUGGUGAAUAUAGUUUGAGGGGGUUUGCCCAAAUUAUUGAUCUAAUGAAGACCUGCUAUGCUGUUUGAUGAUGGUAUUGAAGUGAUUUUGGGCUCUCUAGCCAGUGGAACACAAGCUGAAAAGACUUGAGGGAUGUUAGAUUGUGUCCAUUAUUUAAGACCAACCCAACUAACUUUGGAGAGACUCACCUUCAGGGAAUGGAUUAUUUGGCCCCAGUGAUGCAGGAAAACUAACCAUUUUCUCUAGUAAGAAUGAGGAGGAAGGGAAGCCUCUGCAUUAGUGGAAUAAAUACUCAAACUGAUGAAAACACUCUUCCUUAAGAUAUUUAAGUAGUUUUCCAGGGCCAAAAUCUGUUUUCACUUUGGCAUUCAAAGAUUAGAAUAUUCAGCGUGUGAGUUCUAAGAAUCUAUUCUGAGUUUUUUGGUAAGCCAAAAGCUUUAAGUUCAGAUUUUUCUCAUGAAAGUCCUAUUUGCUCUAAAACAAAUAUAGUAUAGACUAGAGAGAAUUAAUGUUACCAGUAGCUUAUGAAAAAGUACCUCAUUGUCAAUUAGACCAUGGAGGUCAUGUGGUUUAAGUAGUGGAGUAAAGCCCCUUUCGGGGUAGCUUUGCAUAGAGAGAGAAUUUUCUGUCAUAAUAAGACAUAUUAGCCUCUUCUAUUGCUGUCUUUUGAGAUCCUGAAGAGUAUAAUAUAAUGUGAAGAGUGAUGAUGGAGUUAGGGCAGGAUUUCUGGGUUUAAGGCCUAACUCAGAUACUAACUGUGCAAUCAUGGGCAAGUCACAUAAUGCACAGGUAAACUUCAAUUGUUUGUCUAUUAAAUGAGGAUAGGCCACAUACUAUUACCUCAUAAAAUGUCGUAAAUUGAUGUCCUUACAAUAUUUUAUGCCUUUAGGGAAACUAUCUGAAACAGAAGAGACCUUAAAGGUCUAGCAUUAUAUUUGAUGAACUAGACAAAAUCAGAGCCUAGUUUUUCCAUACUAGUAUGAGUUGGAAGUCAGGAGACUGUAUGAAAGUUGGUAGGAAUGAGAAUAUCUGCAGUUCUGAUGAAACACUGCUCCUUUCCUCAGGAUGGGGACUUUUCAAGAUUCAACUUUGUUGAUCUAGCUGUUAUGGACCAAGCUUUUUUUUUUUUUUAAACAUUCAAGACACCUUUGAUGGCAUUCAAUCCCCAUGCCCUGUGGACCUUGACAUGGCCGUUUAGUUCAGCAAAUAUUAAGUAUUUCCUGUUUACAGAG